Molecule: ribosomal RNA, 284 nt
Filed under: uncultured bacterium
Lineage: Bacteria
Description: partial 16S ribosomal RNA
Rfam family: Bacterial small subunit ribosomal RNA
Source: RNAcentral
CCUACGGGAGGCAGCAGUGGGGAAUAUUGCACAAUGGGGGAAACCCUGAUGCAGCGACGCCGCGUGAGUGAAGAAGUAUUUCGGUAUGUAAAGCUCUAUCAGCAGGGAAGAAAAUGACGGUACCUGACUAAGAAGCCCCGGCUAACUACGUGCCAGCAGCCGCGGUAAUACGUAGGGGGCAAGCGUUAUCCGGAUUUACUGGGUGUAAAGGGAGCGUAGACGGUAGAGCAGGCUGAAGUGAAAGCCCGCGGCUCAACUGCGGGAAUGCCUUGGAAACUGUUCAA